This 260-nucleotide long non-coding RNA is filed under the name Hordeum vulgare. RNAcentral describes it as "long non-coding RNA (HVUL_LNC019918)". Lineage: Eukaryota; Viridiplantae; Streptophyta; Magnoliopsida; Poales; Poaceae. The record is from RNAcentral.
GGCGACGUCGGGAACGGCGGCGGUCCCACCCUAGGGAGGGUUAGCGAGGGGAGCGGUUCCAGCCUAGGGAGGGUUAGCGGCUAGCGCGCAGGGGCGGGUUGAGGCCUAUGGAUCUGGUUUUCUUUAUUGAGCCGUUUGGUUUUUGAGGGGUUGGAAAAAAAAUCAGUGGGAGGAGAACGUGGGUGGGAGAGCUUGGAUCGAGAGGUAGAACUAUCGCUAGUCGAACCAUCACGACGUUCGAUUCUGCUUUAAUAGCAGAG